This 70-nucleotide transfer RNA is filed under the name Dipodomys ordii (Ord's kangaroo rat). It matches the Rfam family "tRNA". From Rfam's summary of the family: Transfer RNA (tRNA) molecules are approximately 80 nucleotides in length. Their secondary structure includes four short double-helical elements and three loops (D, anti-codon, and T loops). The record is from Rfam by way of RNAcentral. Lineage: Eukaryota; Metazoa; Chordata; Mammalia; Rodentia; Heteromyidae.
GGGAAAGUGGCUCAGUGGUAGAGUGCUUGCCUUGCAUGCAAGAGGCCCUAGGUUCGAUUCCUCAGCACCA